AUUGAACGCUGGCGGAAUGCUUUACACAUGCAAGUCGAGCGGCAGCGCGGGGGCAACCCUGGCGGCGAGCGGCGAACGGGUGAGUAAUACAUCGGAACGUACCCAGUAGUGGGGGAUAACACAUCGAAAGAUGUGCUAAUACCGCAUACGACCUGAGGGUGAAAGGGGGGGAUCGCAAGACCUCUCGCUAUUGGAGCGGCCGAUGUCGGAUUAGCUAGUUGGUGGGGUAAAGGCCUACCAAGGCGACGAUCCGUAGCUGGUCUGAGAGGAUGAUCAGCCACACUGGGACUGAGACGCGGCCCAGACUCCUACGGGAGGCAGCAGUGGGGAAUUUUGGACAAUGGGGGCAACCCUGAUCCAGCCAUUCCGCGUGAGUGAAGAAGGCCUUCGGGUUGUAAAGCUCUUUCGGCAGGAACGAAACGGUGGGUCCUAAUACGAUCUGCUAAUGACGGUACCUGAAGAAGAAGCACCGGCUAACUACGUGCCAGCAGCCGCGGUAAUACGUAGGGUGCGAGCGUUAAUCGGAAUUACUGGGCGUAAAGCGUGCGCAGGCGGUUUUGUAAGACAGAUGUGAAAUCCCCGGGCUUAACCUGGGAACUGCGUUUGUGACUGCAAGACUCGAGUGUGGCAGAGGGGGGUGGAAUUCCACGUGUAGCAGUGAAAUGCGUAGAGAUGUGGAGGAACACCGAUGGCGAAGGCAGCCCCCUGGGUCAACACUGACGCUCAUGCACGAAAGCGUGGGUAGCAAACAGGAUUAGAUACCCUGGUAGUCCACGCCCUAAACGAUGCCAACUAGGUGUUGGGGAAGGAGACUUCCUUAGUACCGUAGCUAACGCGUGAAGUGGCCGCCUGGGA
This 855-nucleotide ribosomal RNA is filed under the name uncultured bacterium. Its description in RNAcentral is "bacterial SSU rRNA". It matches the Rfam family "Bacterial small subunit ribosomal RNA", at positions 28 to 878 of the family's 1533-position model. The record is from RNAcentral.